RNAcentral lists this ribosomal RNA (614 nucleotides) under Filobasidium magnum. Its description in RNAcentral is "eukaryotic LSU rRNA". It matches the Rfam family "Eukaryotic large subunit ribosomal RNA", at positions 66 to 667 of the family's 3401-position model. The record is from RNAcentral. Lineage: Eukaryota; Fungi; Basidiomycota; Tremellomycetes; Filobasidiales; Filobasidiaceae.
CAAGGGGGUUUCCCCUAGUAACGGCGAGUGAGCGGGAAGAGCUCAAAUUUGAAAUCUGGUGGCCUCAGGUCAUCCGAGUUGUAAUCUAUAGAAGUGUUUUCCGUGCUGGCUCAUGUACAAGUCCCUUGGAACAGGGCGUCAUAGAGGGUGAGAAUCCCGUCCUUGACAUGAACUACCAGUGCUCUGUGAUACAUUUUCAACGAGUCGAGUUGUUUGGGAAUGCAGCUCAAAAUGGGUGGUAAAUUCCAUCUAAAGCUAAAUAUUGGCGAGAGACCGAUAGCGAACAAGUACCGUGAGGGAAAGAUGAAAAGCACUUUGGAAAGAGAGUUAAACAGUAUGUGAAAUUGUUGAAAGGGAAACGAUUGAAGUCAGUCGUGCUCUUUGGAUUCAGCCGGUUCUGCCGGUGUACUUCCUUUGAGUGGGGUCAACAUCAGUUUUGAUCGCUGGAUAAAGGCUGGAGGAACGUAGUACCCUCGGGUAAACUUAUAGCCUCCUGUCACAUACAGUGGUUGGGACUGAGGAACGCAGCACGCCUUUAUGGCCGGGAUUCGUCCACGUACGUGCUUAGGAUGUUGACAUAAUGGCUUUAAACGACCCGUCUUGAACAACGGACA